UUGGGGAUUCUAAAUUUUAGAAGCUCAAUGAGAAACAAUUAUCUAGUAACCAGGAAUGGAUUGGAAGCAAAUUUUGAAGGUUCACGGUCACAAGGCCAACUGUCACUAUCUUGUCAAUGGCAACAUGGCAUUCAGUUCAAUUUGCUUCAGUGUUCAACCUAUAAAAUAUCCUACCCUACACUCCCCAUGCCCGCCUACGCCUUCCG
This 206-nucleotide long non-coding RNA is filed under the name Olea europaea (common olive). Its description in RNAcentral is "long non-coding RNA (OEUR_LNC003199)". Lineage: Eukaryota; Viridiplantae; Streptophyta; Magnoliopsida; Lamiales; Oleaceae. The record is from RNAcentral.